Molecule: ribosomal RNA, 484 nt
Filed under: uncultured bacterium
Lineage: Bacteria
Description: partial 16S ribosomal RNA
Rfam family: Bacterial small subunit ribosomal RNA
Source: RNAcentral
AUUGAACGCUGGCGGCAGGCCUAACACAUGCAAGUCGAGCGGAUGAAGGGAGCUUGCUCCUGGAUUCAGCGGCGGACCGGUGAGUAAUGCCUAGGAAUCUGCCUGGUAGUGGGGGAUAACGUCCGGAAACGGGCGCUAAUACCGCAUACGUCCUGAGGGAGAAAGUGGGGGAUUUUCGGACCUCACGCUAUCAGAUGAGCCUAGGUCGGAUUAGCUAGUUGGUGGGGUAAAGGCCUACCAAGGCGACGAUCCGUAACUGGUCUGAGAGGAUGAUCAGUCACACUGGAACUGAGACACGGUCCAGACUCCUACGGGAGGCAGCAGUGGGGAAUAUUGGACAAUGGGCGAAAGCCUGAUCCAGCCAUGCCGCGUGUGUGAAGAAGGUCUUCGGAUUGUAAAGCACUUUAAGUUGGGAGGAAGGGCAGUAAGUUAAUACCUUGCUGUUUUGACGUUACCAACAGAAUAAGCACCGGCUAACUUCGUG